GGGAGAAUGGCUGAGCGGCUAAAGGCGAUAGACUGUAAAUCUAUUGAAGUGAUUCUACAGGGGUUCGAAUCCCUUUUCUCCCA
Transfer RNA from Klebsormidium nitens, 83 nucleotides. It matches the Rfam family "tRNA". From Rfam's summary of the family: Transfer RNA (tRNA) molecules are approximately 80 nucleotides in length. Their secondary structure includes four short double-helical elements and three loops (D, anti-codon, and T loops). Further hydrogen bonds mediate the characteristic L-shaped molecular structure. tRNAs have two regions of fundamental functional importance: the anti-codon, which is responsible for specific mRNA codon recognition, and the 3' end, to which the tRNAs corresponding amino acid is attached (by aminoacyl-tRNA synthetases). tRNAs cope with the degeneracy of the genetic code in two manners: having more than one tRNA (with a specific anti-codon) for a particular amino acid; and 'wobble' base-pairing, i.e. permitting non-standard base-pairing at the 3rd anti-codon position. The record is from Rfam. Lineage: Eukaryota; Viridiplantae; Streptophyta; Klebsormidiophyceae; Klebsormidiales; Klebsormidiaceae.